UCGGAUUGCAGGCUGCAACUCGCCUGCAUGAAGUCGGAAUUGCUAGUAAUCGCGGAUCAGCAUGCCGCGGUGAAUACGUUCCCGGGCCUUGUACACACCGCCCGUCACACCAUGGGAGUUGGAAGCGCCCGAAGCCUGUGACCUAACCGAAAGGGAGGAGCAGCCGAAGGUGAAGCCAGUGACUGGGGUGAAGUCGUAACAAGGUAGC
RNAcentral lists this ribosomal RNA (208 nucleotides) under uncultured bacterium. Its description in RNAcentral is "partial 16S ribosomal RNA". It matches the Rfam family "Bacterial small subunit ribosomal RNA", at positions 1293 to 1500 of the family's 1533-position model. The record is from RNAcentral.